Molecule: ribosomal RNA, 363 nt
Filed under: Triticum aestivum (bread wheat)
Lineage: Eukaryota; Viridiplantae; Streptophyta; Magnoliopsida; Poales; Poaceae
Description: partial small subunit ribosomal RNA
Source: RNAcentral
AUGUACGAGAUCGCCGACACCGAGAUACGGGAUCGCCGCCAACGCACGAUCUGCCGUCUCUCGCUGCCGCCGUGGUACGAUCUGCCGUCUCUCCCAGAGGAGGCGCCGCCGCGGACGUCCGGGAUCACCGCUGCCUACGUCCGGGAUCACCGCCGCCGACCUGCCAGAGGAGACGCCGCCUCCAAUCUCCUAGAGGAGCCGCCGCCGCCGCCGGUCUCCGACGGGAGACGCCGUCGCCGCCGCCGCCGACCUUUGAGGGGAGACGCCGCCGCCACCUGCGCUGAACCCCAGGGCAGGGUGCGACGAUCGUCGCAAGGAGUACUUGCCGGCCGUACACAGGGCCAAGGUGGUAGUAGACGAUGA